UAUUCUGGGCUGUCUUUGAAACAGUAGUGGGGGGAAAAAACCGCUGGAAAAGUUUGGGAGAGUGUGACAAACCAAGCGCUUCGAGAGACAAGAAUCGAAACCCGUUGGGCUCUUUGCCCCAAUUUUGGAUUACGAUAUGGACGCUUUGAAGUCGGCUGGAAGGGCAAUAAUUCGGAGCCCCAGUCUCGCUAAACAGUCAUGGGGUGUGGGCAGACAUAAAAAGCUGCCAGAGAACUGGACAGACACGCGAGAAACCCUGCUGGAGGGCAUGGUGUUCCAACUCAAGUACCUGGGCGUCACGCUGGUGGAGCAGCCCAAAGGAGAGGAGCUCUCUGCAGCCGCCGUCAAGAGGAUUGUUGCCACGGCCAAAGCCAGUGGCAAGAAACUCCAGAAAGUGACAUUAAAAGUGUCCCCUCGAGGAAUCAUCCUCUACGACUAUGCCUCUAAUCAGCUGAUUGAGAACAUCUCCAUAUACAGGAUAUCCUACUGCACAGCAGACAAGAUGCACGACAAAGUGUUUGCCUACAUCGCCCAGAGCCAACAGAACGAAACCCUGGAGUGCCACGCAUACCUCUGCACGAAGAGGAAGGUGGCCCAGGCAGUGACGUUAACAGUGGCCCAGGCCUUCAGAGUGGCGUUUGAGUUCUGGCAGGCCGCCAAAGAAGAGAAGGAGAAACACGUGAAGUCUGGGUCAGAUGUGGAAGAAGCAAGUAAUAGCCAGUCAGAGAGCUUGUCCAGACUGGGCAGUCUGAAGGGAGGAGAAGUGGCCACAGGGAACCUUCUGGACUUGGCAGAGGGGGCAAACAUGGCGCUGCUGCACUCAGGGACAAAGGAGAGCGAACCAGACCCAUUCAUGACGCACAACCACGCCACAGAGAACAACAAUACUGUAUGGGAGCUUGAGGAUGGUCUGGAUGAAGCUUUCUCAAGGGGAGGUCAGUAGUGGUGCUUCCCAGCGUGCAACAGAGCAACAGCAGCAAACCCUCAACGCCGCCUGAGCAGAAAGGAUCCGAGACCAGGUCUGUGAAGAAAUCUUCUCCAGAGAAGAAUCUUCAAGAGGGGGUGAUGACCGAGCUGCUGAACCUGAUGAACCAUGUGGCUGACCAGGCACCAAGCCUCAACGGCAGGCAGUGGCAGCCCCCCUCAGAUCUCCACUGCAGAACCAGAACUACAGGAACCCCCGGUGCUUUGCCAAGGUCCCACAGAUCUUCGAGAGAAGUCCGGUUCUGUCAAUCCAAGCAACAAAGGAUAUUUUAUCUGAAAUGUAUUAAUUUGCAUCAAUAUGUAAUAUGUUAAUUGCUAAAGUGGCUUGAAGCCCAGUGAUUGCAGUCAGUGUUUGUUUUUAUUUUGUCUUGAUUCCUAGUCUUGAUUCCUAGUCUUGAUUAGCUUUUUGAAUGCUGUGCGUAUUUCCCUGUCUAAGUACUUAUUUAUGCAGUUUUAAUUUCUUACCCAAUAUAUUUUGUGUUCAUACUGUUGAAGUUUUUUUAGUACUUCUGAUUAACCCUGGUUCAGCUAGAACAGUUUGAAGGGACAAUCACUUUUUUGAUCCAGACAUGCUCUUCACUUGCUGCCUCAGAUGGUCUGUCAUUUGUUUAUUAGCAUUAGUCCGAAUUUAAGGUAAUUUUGUCUGUGGCCAUGUUAUGCUUAAUUUGCAUGAGUCUCUAGCCUUUCUAGGCUUUACAUGACAGUUUUCAUAUCAUGCUUUUUUCUACUGGUCCAGUGACCUUUGAUACCUCUUAUCUGACUCCUUCCCAGGCAUUUUAAUGACACUCCUCCCUCUGGUUCCCAGCACCAUUCACAGGAGGUGAGCAGUUCUCCUUGACCUACUUAUUGAGAGAUUUUUCAGGGAAAGGGAAGACAUUUCACCUGAAUUAUGUAUGCCAACCUUGCCUAAAGAUGAUUGAAUCAGUGACUUAUGAGCACCUGCCUUCGACCUUACAGGUGACAUUGAACUGCUUCCCAGAACUUCCUAAUGGAAUUAAACGCCUUUUUAAAACAGUGUUGUAGCUACAGUUAAUGUGGUUCAGAUGCCUUUGCUGCAGAUAUCACACUUGGUCUGUGAAAUGGUCUAAAAUGCCAAGUGUCAGUUCAAUGUGAAGGAAAGGAAGAGGAUCAUUUAUUAUGUAAAUGUAUGUUAUAGAAGCCCAGAGUCCUUUAACUUGUAUAACAUUUAUAGUCCUGUACAGCCCACAAACAUCUAGAGGUCUCUCUGUGAACAAGCCUGUUGAUGCUUAUUAUUGUAGAGUAGCAUUGAACAGUAGGCGCUGAUGUAACAUUUGAGUUUAUUUGUUUGCUUUGAACUGGUGACAAUAUUUGGUAUUGUAAUGGAUCUCUAUAGAAUCCGGUAAAAUGUCUCAGUCCCAAAAGUUGGAUUAUAAUUAUGUUUGUGGGUGGAUGCCUAUGGCAUACCAUCAGCUUGUUUCGCCUUGUGUCUGUGUACAUGUGUACAUUUUUGGUGUUUCUUCUAACGUUUAUUGUAUACUAUAAUGUUGUAUGUGUAGGCCCUGUCACUAUGUCCUCCAUCCAUUAAAUAAUGCAGGCAGUUAAAGUAAGCGCGUCUCCACAGAUAUUCUGACAGUCUGUCUCUAGCCAGCCA
RNA transcript from Salvelinus fontinalis (brook trout), 2596 nucleotides. It is a transcript of the gene named low density lipoprotein receptor adapter protein 1-B-like, with no coding region annotated. The transcript is spliced from 11 exons. The record is from RefSeq and is a predicted model, not a curated record. NCBI's taxonomy places the organism in Eukaryota, Metazoa, Chordata, Actinopteri, Salmoniformes, Salmonidae.